RNAcentral lists this ribosomal RNA (753 nucleotides) under uncultured Campylobacterota bacterium. Its description in RNAcentral is "bacterial SSU rRNA". It matches the Rfam family "Bacterial small subunit ribosomal RNA", at positions 554 to 1308 of the family's 1533-position model. The record is from RNAcentral. Lineage: Bacteria; Pseudomonadati; Campylobacterota.
CUGGGCGUAAAGCGCGCGCAGGCGGCUAUUUAAGUUGGAUGUGAAAGCCUACAGCUCAACUGUAGAACUGCAUCCAAAACUAUUUAGCUAGAGUGUGGGAGAGGAAGAUGGAAUUAGUUGUGUAGGGGUAAAAUCCGUAGAGAUAACUAGGAAUACCAAAAGCGAAGGCAAUCUUCUGGAACACUACUGACGCUGAGGCGCGAAGGCGUGGGGAGCAAACAGGAUUAGAUACCCUGGUAGUCCACGCAGUAAACGAUGAAUGUUAGUCGUCGGGUAGCUAGUCUAUUCGGUGAUGCAGCUAACGCAUUAAACAUUCCGCCUGGGGAGUACGGUCGCAAGAUUAAAACUCAAAGGAAUAGACGGGGACCCGCACAAGUGGUGGAGCAUGUGGUUUAAUUCGAAGAUACGCGAAGAACCUUACCUAGCCUUGACAUAUUUUAGAACUCCGCAGAGAUGUAGAGGUGCCUUCGGGAGCUAAUAUACAGGUGCUGCACGGCUGUCGUCAGCUCGUGUCGUGAGAUGUUGGGUUAAGUCCCGCAACGAGCGCAACCCUCGUCACUAGUUACUAACGGUUCGGCCGAGGACUCUAGUGAGACUGCCUUCGCAAGGAGGAGGAAGGUGAGGACGACGUCAAGUCAUCAUGGCCCUUACGGCUAGGGCAACACACGUGCUACAAUGGCCAGGACAAUGAGAAGCGAUACCGCGAGGUGGAGCAAAUCUAUAAACCUGGUCUCAGUUCGGAUUGUAGUCUGC